UACGAAGGGGGCUAGCGUUGCUCGGAAUUACUAGGCGUAAAGGGCGCGUAGGCGGCCGUUCAAGUCGGAGGUGAAAUCCCAAGGCUCAACCUUGGAAUUGCCUUCGAUACUGGAUGGCUAGAGACCGGAAGAGGUAAGUGGAACUGCGAGUGUAGAGGUGAAAUUCGUAGAUAUUCGCAAGAACACCAGUGGCGAAGGCGGCUUACUGGUCCGGUUCUGACGCUGAGGCGCGAAAGCGUGGGGAGCAAACAGG
RNAcentral lists this ribosomal RNA (253 nucleotides) under uncultured bacterium. RNAcentral's name for it is "partial 16S ribosomal RNA". It matches the Rfam family "Bacterial small subunit ribosomal RNA", at positions 524 to 776 of the family's 1533-position model. The record is from RNAcentral.